UAGCCGGCCGUGGAGGGAGUGAAAGCCCCUUGGGGGUGUAAACUCCUUUCGAUCGGGAAGAUGAUGACGGUACCGAUAUAAGAAGCCCCGGCUAACUUCGUGC
This 103-nucleotide ribosomal RNA is filed under the name uncultured bacterium. RNAcentral describes it as "partial 16S ribosomal RNA". The record is from RNAcentral.